This 1414-nucleotide ribosomal RNA is filed under the name Lactiplantibacillus pentosus. RNAcentral's name for it is "bacterial SSU rRNA". It matches the Rfam family "Bacterial small subunit ribosomal RNA". The record is from RNAcentral. Lineage: Bacteria; Bacillati; Bacillota; Bacilli; Lactobacillales; Lactobacillaceae.
GUCGAACGAACUCUGGUAUUGAUUGGUGCUUGCAUCAUGAUUUACAUUUGAGUGAGUGGCGAACUGGUGAGUAACACGUGGGAAACCUGCCCAGAAGCGGGGGAUAACACCUGGAAACAGAUGCUAAUACCGCAUAACAACUUGGACCGCAUGGUCCGAGUUUGAAAGAUGGCUUCGGCUAUCACUUUUGGAUGGUCCCGCGGCGUAUUAGCUAGAUGGUGGGGUAACGGCUCACCAUGGCAAUGAUACGUAGCCGACCUGAGAGGGUAAUCGGCCACAUUGGGACUGAGACACGGCCCAAACUCCUACGGGAGGCAGCAGUAGGGAAUCUUCCACAAUGGACGAAACUCUGAUGGAGCAACGCCGCGUGAGUGAAGAAGGGUUUCGGCUCGUAAAACUCUGUUGUUAAAGAAGAACAUAUCUGAGAGUAACUGUUCAGGUAUUGACGGUAUUUAACCAGAAAGCCACGGCUAACUACGUGCCAGCAGCCGCGGUAAUACGUAGGUGGCAAGCGUUGUCCGGAUUUAUUGGGCGUAAAGCGAGCGCAGGCGGUUUUUUAAGUCUGAUGUGAAAGCCUUCGGCUCAACCGAAGAAGUGCAUCGGAAACUGGGAAACUUGAGUGCAGAAGAGGACAGUGGAACUCCAUGUGUAGCGGUGAAAUGCGUAGAUAUAUGGAAGAACACCAGUGGCGAAGGCGGCUGUCUGGUCUGUAACUGACGCUGAGGCUCGAAAGUAUGGGUAGCAAACAGGAUUAGAUACCCUGGUAGUCCAUACCGUAAACGAUGAAUGCUAAGUGUUGGAGGGUUUCCGCCCUUCAGUGCUGCAGCUAACGCAUUAAGCAUUCCGCCUGGGGAGUACGGCCGCAAGGCUGAAACUCAAAGGAAUUGACGGGGGCCCGCACAAGCGGUGGAGCAUGUGGUUUAAUUCGAAGCUACGCGAAGAACCUUACCAGGUCUUGACAUACUAUGCAAAUCUAAGAGAUUAGACGUUCCCUUCGGGGACAUGGAUACAGGUGGUGCAUGGUUGUCGUCAGCUCGUGUCGUGAGAUGUUGGGUUAAGUCCCGCAACGAGCGCAACCCUUAUUAUCAGUUGCCAGCAUUAAGUUGGGCACUCUGGUGAGACUGCCGGUGACAAACCGGAGGAAGGUGGGGAUGACGUCAAAUCAUCAUGCCCCUUAUGACCUGGGCUACACACGUGCUACAAUGGAUGGUACAACGAGUUGCGAACUCGCGAGAGUAAGCUAAUCUCUUAAAGCCAUUCUCAGUUCGGAUUGUAGGCUGCAACUCGCCUACAUGAAGUCGGAAUCGCUAGUAAUCGCGGAUCAGCAUGCCGCGGUGAAUACGUUCCCGGGCCUUGUACACACCGCCCGUCACACCAUGAGAGUUUGUAACACCCAAAGUCGGUGGGGUAACCU